UGCGUAGGCGGAUUAAUAAGUCAGUGGUGAAAACCUGCAGCUUAACUGUAGAACUGCCAUUGAUACUGUUAGUCUUGAGUACGGUCAAGGUAGGCGGAAUGUGUAAUGUAGCGGUGAAAUGCUUAGAUAUUACACAGAACACCGAUUGCGAACGCAGCUUACUGGACCAUUACUGACGCUGAGGCACGAAAGCGUGGGGAGCGAACAGGAUUAGAUACCCUGGUAGUCC
Molecule: ribosomal RNA, 229 nt
Filed under: uncultured bacterium
Lineage: Bacteria
Description: partial 16S ribosomal RNA
Rfam family: Bacterial small subunit ribosomal RNA
Source: RNAcentral